AAGUCGUAACAAGGUUUCCGUAGGUGAACCUGCGGAAGGAUCAUUGUUGAAUAGUCGUGGUGCUGUGCUGGCCUUUCGGGGCAUGUGCACGCAUUGCAAUUAUCCAUUAUCUUUUUUGUGAACCAGUGUAGUCUCGAGUUGUUUCGUUGGUAGUAAUGGGCUUUCCCGCCUGUGAGGCCGUUGAGCGUUAGUAGCUGACCAGCGAAAGCGUAGACUCGAGUCUAUGAUUUUAUAUAAACUGUGUAUGUCUUUGAAUGUCUCUUUAUUGGCCGCAAGGCUAGUAAAAUCUAUACAACUUUCAGCAACGGAUCUCUUGGCUCUC
Molecule: unclassified non-coding RNA, 322 nt
Filed under: air metagenome
Description: partial contains small subunit ribosomal RNA, internal transcribed spacer 1, and 5.8S ribosomal RNA
Rfam family: Eukaryotic small subunit ribosomal RNA (bases 1-46)
Source: RNAcentral